This 465-nucleotide ribosomal RNA is filed under the name uncultured bacterium. Its description in RNAcentral is "partial 16S ribosomal RNA". It matches the Rfam family "Bacterial small subunit ribosomal RNA", at positions 338 to 795 of the family's 1533-position model. The record is from RNAcentral.
CCUACGGGAGGCAGCAGUGGGGAAUAUUGCGCAAUGGGCGAAAGCCUGACGCAGCGACGCCGCGUGAGGGAUGAAGGUCUUCGGAUCGUAAACCUCUGUCAGCAGGGAAGUACGGUCACUGUGCUAAUCAGCAGUGAAUUGACGGUAUCUGCAAAGGAAGCACCGGCUAACUCCGUGCCAGCAGCUGCCGUAAUACGGAGGGUGCGAGCGUUAAUCGGUAUUACUGGGCGUAAAGCGCUCGUAGGCGGUAUGUCAAGUCACGGGUGAAAUCCCCGCGCUCAACGUGGGAACUGCCUUUGAAACUGGCAGACUGGAGUGUGUGAGAGGAUAGUGGAAUUCCAGGUGUAGGAGUGAAAUCCGUAGAUAUCUGGAGGAACAUCAGUGGCGAAGGCGACUAUCUGGCACAUAACUGACGCUGAGGAGCGAAAGCGUGGGUAGCGAACAGGAUUAGAUACCCCAGUAGUC